RNAcentral lists this ribosomal RNA (405 nucleotides) under uncultured bacterium. RNAcentral describes it as "partial 16S ribosomal RNA". It matches the Rfam family "Bacterial small subunit ribosomal RNA", at positions 28 to 526 of the family's 1533-position model. The record is from RNAcentral.
GACGAACGCUGGCGGCGUGCUUAACACAUGCAAGUCGAGCGGAGCGGCGAACGGGUGAGUAACGCGUGAGUAACUGCCCCCAUCUCUGGGAUAACAGUUGGAAACGGCUGCUAAUACCGGAUAGUGGGGGAUGACUCGCGUCCUAUCAGCUUGUUGGUGGGGUAGUGGCCUACCAAGGCGACGAAGGGUAGCCGGCCUGAGAGGGCGACAGGGCACAAUGGGCUGAGGGACGGCGCAAAAGGCUACGGGGGGCAGCGGUGGGGAAUAUGGGGCAAUGGGGGAAACCCUGAUGCAGCAACGCCGCGUGGGGGAUGACGGCCUUCGGGUUGUAAACCGCUUUCAGCCAUGACGCGGUAGUGGCAGAAGAAGCACCGGCUAACUACGUGCCAGCAGCCGCGGUAAUUC